This 236-nucleotide long non-coding RNA is filed under the name Carica papaya (papaya). RNAcentral describes it as "long non-coding RNA (CPAP_LNC012337)". Lineage: Eukaryota; Viridiplantae; Streptophyta; Magnoliopsida; Brassicales; Caricaceae. The record is from RNAcentral.
AUAAAAAUGGCCAUGUAGGACAGACAUGUCAGCAGCAUGGCCAAUCAUCGUGCGUCGCGUGGCGCAAAAACCAGUACGCAUUCCACGCAGGAAGCCAUGCAGGUAAUCCGCAUGCCGAGCGAUCCAACGACCCGUGUUCACUCUUGCACAUAUGAAUGACCUAGAUCUAUUCCCUCAUUAAGUGUGAUCGGACGGCUGAGAAGACACCACGUGAACCCGAAUGGACAGCCCAGAUC